This 29-nucleotide non-coding RNA is filed under the name Mus musculus (house mouse). The record is from RNAcentral. Lineage: Eukaryota; Metazoa; Chordata; Mammalia; Rodentia; Muridae.
UGGCAGGAUCAGGAAGAUGGUUGAUCACA